UCCCCAGUGGUCCAGUGGUUAAGAUUCAGCACUUUCACUGUUGUGACCUGGGUUCAAUCCCUGGUUGGGGAA
This 72-nucleotide transfer RNA is filed under the name Bos taurus (domestic cattle). It matches the Rfam family "tRNA". From Rfam's summary of the family: Transfer RNA (tRNA) molecules are approximately 80 nucleotides in length. RNAcentral also lists the same sequence under 1 other name. The record is from Rfam by way of RNAcentral. Lineage: Eukaryota; Metazoa; Chordata; Mammalia; Artiodactyla; Bovidae.